Molecule: microRNA precursor, 162 nt
Filed under: Oryza brachyantha (malo sina)
Lineage: Eukaryota; Viridiplantae; Streptophyta; Magnoliopsida; Poales; Poaceae
Description: MIR812 microRNA precursor family
Rfam family: MIR812 microRNA precursor family
Source: Rfam by way of RNAcentral
UUCAAUUUUUAACUUUUCGUCUUAUUAAAAAAAUUUGUGAUUGAUAUUUUUGUUUUUAUUAGAUGAUAAAUCAUGAAUAGUACUUUACGUGUGACUAAUUUUUUCUAAUUUUCUGAAAUUUUUUUAAAUAAAACGGAUGGUCAAACGUUAGACACGGAAUCC